This 298-nucleotide unclassified non-coding RNA is filed under the name Hevea brasiliensis (rubber tree). The record is from RNAcentral. Lineage: Eukaryota; Viridiplantae; Streptophyta; Magnoliopsida; Malpighiales; Euphorbiaceae.
CGCCUUGCCUUUGUCAUGCAUCUUGCUUCCGCAUUUAAGCGUUUGAGUGUAAGUUUAGAAUCCAAAGAUGGAUGCCUAUACUUCUUUGAGAAGCGUUCCUUGACAAUAGACCUCCUUCCAACAAAAUUAGACUCAAAAACUCUCGCUUCAGCGCCUUGCUUUAUCAGAAUGAGGGAGCCAUCUUUGACAUCUAAAUCGAUCUCCAUACAAUUGUGUAUAAAUAGCAGCUAUUAUCCUUCGACAGCGCAAUUCAGCGGCGGAAAGCAGAGAAAGCUAAACCCUUGAACCCCCAAUUUUU